GAGAAAAAGCAGAGGCCACCGCUUCUCGCCUUGUAACUUAGAAGUUGCUGGGCUAAAGAACGUUGAAUGGAUGUUGAAGAUCCAAAAAAAGCGGGUGGCGUGUGCCAUCCGCUUUUCUGCAUUCUC
Pediococcus acidilactici DSM 20284 is the source of this 126-nucleotide regulatory RNA element. It matches the Rfam family "Ribosomal protein L20 leader". Rfam says of the family: This family is a putative r-protein leader autoregulatory structure found in B. subtilis and other low-GC Gram-positive bacteria. It is located in the 5' untranslated regions of mRNAs encoding initiation factor 3 followed by ribosomal proteins L35 and L20 (infC-rpmI-rplT). The record is from Rfam. NCBI's taxonomy places the organism in Bacteria, Bacillati, Bacillota, Bacilli, Lactobacillales, Lactobacillaceae.